Molecule: ribosomal RNA, 253 nt
Filed under: uncultured bacterium
Lineage: Bacteria
Description: partial 16S ribosomal RNA
Rfam family: Bacterial small subunit ribosomal RNA
Source: RNAcentral
UACGUAGGGCGCAAGCGUUGUCCGGAAUUAUUGGGCGUAAAGAGCUCGUAGGUGGCUUGUCGCAUCUGCCGUGAAAGCCCAUGGCUUAACUAUGGGUCUGCGGUGGAUACGGGCAGGCUAGAGGCUGGUAGGGGCAAGCGGAAUUCCUGGUGUAGCGGUGAAAUGCGCAGAUAUCAGGAGGAACACCGGUGGCGAAGGCGGCUUGCUGGGCCAGUUCUGACGCUGAGGAGCGAAAGCGUGGGGAGCGAACAGG